RNAcentral lists this ribosomal RNA (211 nucleotides) under Vreelandella titanicae. RNAcentral describes it as "Halomonas titanicae partial 16S ribosomal RNA". It matches the Rfam family "Bacterial small subunit ribosomal RNA", at positions 55 to 270 of the family's 1533-position model. The record is from RNAcentral. Lineage: Bacteria; Pseudomonadati; Pseudomonadota; Gammaproteobacteria; Oceanospirillales; Halomonadaceae.
AUGACAGUCGAGCGGUAACAGGGGUAGCUUGCUACCCGCUGACGAGCGGCGGACGGGUGAGUAAUGCAUAGGAAUCUGCCCGGUAGUGGGGGAUAACCUGGGGAAACCCAGGCUAAUACCGCAUACGUCCUACGGGAGAAAGGGGGCUUCGGCUCCCGCUAUUGGAUGAGCCUAUGUCGGAUUAGCUAGUUGGUGAGGUAAUGGCUCACCA